This 253-nucleotide ribosomal RNA is filed under the name uncultured bacterium. RNAcentral describes it as "partial 16S ribosomal RNA". It matches the Rfam family "Bacterial small subunit ribosomal RNA", at positions 524 to 776 of the family's 1533-position model. The record is from RNAcentral.
UACGAAGGGGGCUAGCGUUGUUCGGAAUUACUGGGCGUAAAGGGCGCGUAGGCGGUGUGUCAAGUCAGGCGUGAAAGCCCCGGGCUCAACCUGGGAACCGCGCUUGAGACUGGCACGCUCGAGUUCGGGAGAGGAUGGUGGAAUUCCCAGUGUAGAGGUGAAAUUCGUAGAUAUUGGGAAGAACACCGAUGGCGAAGGUAGCCAUCUGGACCGACACUGACGCUGAGGCGCGAAAGCGUGGGGAGCAAACAGG